UACAGAGGUCUCAAGCGUUGUUCGGAUUCAUUGGGCGUAAAGGGUGUGUAGGUGGCGCGCUAAGUCGGGUGUGAAAUUUCGGAGCUUAACUCCGAAACUGCAUUCGAUACUGGCGUGCUUGAGGACUGGAGAGGAGACUGGAAUUCAUGGUGUAGCAGUGAAAUGCGUAGAUAUCUGGAGGAACACCGGUGGCGAAGGCGGCAUCCUGGACCAACACUGACACUGAGGAGCGAAAGCCAGGGGAGCAAACGGG
This 253-nucleotide ribosomal RNA is filed under the name uncultured bacterium. RNAcentral's name for it is "partial 16S ribosomal RNA". It matches the Rfam family "Bacterial small subunit ribosomal RNA", at positions 524 to 776 of the family's 1533-position model. The record is from RNAcentral.